GGCUCUUAAAUUUUUAAUCAAAUCUUAAUAUAAUUAAAAAUUUAUUGAACUAAAAUUUUGAUAAAAUUAGAGAUAAUUCUUCCUUAGCGAUUAGGUCAUCUCAUAACCUAAUCGGGUCAAACCUAAUUGAAUCAAAUUCAAUUAGUUUUGAUCCAAAUAUCAUUGCUCAAUUAAAUUAAACUAAUUAAUAUUUUAAUUACUAAUUUAUCUUUCAUUAAUUUACUAAUGCUUAGCAAAUUAUUUCAUCAUAACUUUUGCUUAAGAUUAAUCAUCAAUCAAAUUGACGAUUACACCCUUGAAUGAUUCUUAAUCAUUGAUCAACCAC
RNAcentral lists this long non-coding RNA (325 nucleotides) under Elaeis guineensis (African oil palm). RNAcentral describes it as "long non-coding RNA (EGUI_LNC059321)". Lineage: Eukaryota; Viridiplantae; Streptophyta; Magnoliopsida; Arecales; Arecaceae. The record is from RNAcentral.